Molecule: ribosomal RNA, 445 nt
Filed under: uncultured bacterium
Lineage: Bacteria
Description: bacterial SSU rRNA
Rfam family: Bacterial small subunit ribosomal RNA
Source: RNAcentral
CCCAGACUCCUACGGGAGGCAGCAGUGGGGAAUAUUGCACAAUGGGGGAAACCCUGAUGCAGCAACGCCGCGUGAGUGAAGAAGUAUUUCGGUAUGUAAAGCUCUAUCAGCAGGGAAGAAGAUGACGGUACCUGAUUAAGAAGCCCCGGCUAACUACGUGCCAGCAGCCGCGGUAAUACGUAGGGGGCAAGCGUUAUCCGGAUUUACUGGGUGUAAAGGGAGCGCAGACGGCAGUGCAAGUCUGGAGUGAAAGCCCGGGGCCCAACCCCGGAACUGCUCUGGAAACUAUGUGACUGGAGUGCAGGAGAGGUGAGCAGAAUUCCUAGUGUAGCGGUGAAAUGCGUAGAUAUUAGGAGGAACACCAGUGGCGAAGGCGGCUCACUGGACUGUAACUGACGUUGAGGCUCGAAAGCGUGGGGAGCAAACAGGAUUAGAUACCCUAGUA